Molecule: ribosomal RNA, 274 nt
Filed under: uncultured bacterium
Lineage: Bacteria
Description: partial 16S ribosomal RNA
Rfam family: Bacterial small subunit ribosomal RNA
Source: RNAcentral
CACACGNGUUACAAUGGCAGGUACAGCGGGAAGCCACCCGGCACGGGGCGCAGAACCCGAAAACCUGUCUCAGUUCGGAUUGGAGUCUGCAACCCGACUCCAUGAAGCUGGAUUCGCUAGUAAUCGCGCAUCAGCCACGGCGCGGUGAAUACGUUCCCGGGCCUUGUACACACCGCCCGUCAAGCCAUGGAAGCCGGGGGUGCCUGAAGUGCGUGACCGCAAGGGACGCCCUAGGGUAAAACCGGUGACUGGGGCUAAGUCGUAACAAGGUAUC